UCUCCCGAGCGAAGAAAAAAAAUCAUAAAACCUGAUCUCGUCGUUUCAACGAAGCAGACUGCUGGACCUUGGAGACGACACAGAGACGAGUACCUUUGAUUGUUCUAAUGCGGUUCUUCACUUCAAGGUGUUCUUUCAUGCUUGCCCGAUUUUCGUCCAUCUUUGAGAAAUGAGAAGGUCAAAGGUGGAGAUGAUUUUUCUUUCGUAAUUGCUGGAGCAUCUGGUUCAACUGUUGGAAGUUCCAAACUAAGGGGAAAAAAUGAAAUCAUACACAGUGGCUUGCAAAAUGAUGGAGUCAUAACAUCCUUUUGAUACUCAUUGUUCGUAUAAUGGAUGCAUUAGGAAACUUU
Long non-coding RNA from Papaver somniferum (opium poppy), 350 nucleotides. RefSeq lists it as uncharacterized. The record is from RefSeq and is a predicted model, not a curated record. The transcript has 4 exons. Lineage: Eukaryota; Viridiplantae; Streptophyta; Magnoliopsida; Ranunculales; Papaveraceae.